CCGGGCUCUGAGUGCUCUUGCCCGUCCGGCCCCAGCCGCGGCCCGGGAAUCUACGUCAGCCGAAAAGCUACUAUAAACGCCCGCGCCUCCGUCCCCAGCCGCGGCUCGGGAAUCUACGUCACCCGAAGAGUGGCUAUAAACGUCCGCGCCUCCUUUGCGCUCCCCUCUUCACUUAGGACACUGGGCCUCCCACGCCUGACACCGACGUCGCCAGGACCGCGGGGUUGGGGGAACUUGGCUGUCCCACGUCUUUCAAAUAAAGCUGUUUUGUCUAACUCAC
RNAcentral lists this long non-coding RNA (280 nucleotides) under Pan troglodytes (chimpanzee). RNAcentral's name for it is "lincRNA". The record is from RNAcentral. Lineage: Eukaryota; Metazoa; Chordata; Mammalia; Primates; Hominidae.